CUCUGACCCGCUGUGCAGCCCCGGGCGACCCCCAGCGCUCAGGCCUCCGCGUCUUCAUCUGAGGAGAGUGGGAAAAAAUCCUUCAGAGGAAGGAGGGCUGCCAUGGGGAUGAUCCUGAAUCGCUGGUGUACCUGGAGUACCUGAUGUGUGUCUGCUCCGUGAGUUCUCUGGGCGUUGGAGCUGCCGUUGUUACUGAUGGCUGCAGCCCGUUGUUGGGUGCCUAUGGUUGCCGAGCGCUGAGCUUGACCCGGGCUGUGUGCUGGGAUCACUUCAGAGCUGCAUAAAGCCCGGUGUCCAGGGCCGCAUCCCAGACUGACUAAGCCGGGGCAUUCGGGAGCAGAACGGGCUGCCAGGAGGCGCCCAGCACGUGGUCCAGGUGUCCCAGAAGGAGCGUUCGCAGCUCCCUGGAGGCGGGAACGGAGUCCCCCGGGGAGAGAGUGGUCCAGGGUUUGCCCUCAGGCGUCCACACUGUCCGCCGGCGAGGCUGGUCCUGUUCCCAGCACCCACGCUGCUAGAGCCACCGGAUCUCCCAGGAGGAGACCCAGCUGCACUCAGAAGAAUCACGCUGGCCUAGGAGAUGGACGGCGGCGUGCGGGGACCGUGUGCGGCUGCAAAGCUGAGCUGUCGUCUUGCCUGUGGCUUCCGAAAUGCAGCCCUGGGCCCUGUGAUCGCUGCAUUUUCUCUGCGCAGCUUUGAGGGACGGAGUGUGCUGACCAACAGAAGAAAGGCAAACAGCAGAAACUGACACUGUGGUGGCCACUGGACGUGGCCUCGGUCGGCUGCGGAGAGAGAAUUUAUUUCCACAGCGACCCUCAGGAGGCGCAGGUCUUGGCCAGACCCAUUCUUAGAAAGGAACAUGAGAUCAGAAAGGCUUGUGUGUUGUUUUAAAACAAACCCUGCAUCCACUGCUCACCUAGUCCUCUGUGAGGCAGGUGACACCUCCUCCUGAAGAGAAUCGGGGCGUCCCGCAACUACCCCACUCUUCCCACUGCCUGUGCAGUGCAGAGCAGGACACACCUGCAGGGGCCAGGGGACAAGCGCUGGGUUCCGUAGAACGGUCCUGGGUCCUGUAGAGGGGUCCUGGGUUCUGUAGAGGGGCCCUGGGUUCUAUAGAGGGGCCCUGGGUCCUGUAGAGGGGUCCUGGGUUCUACAGAGGGGCCCUGGGUCCUGUAGAGGGGUCCUGGGUUCUGUAGAGGGGUCCUCGGUUCUGUAGAGGGGUCCUGGGUUCUGUAGAGGGGUCCUGGGUUCUAUAGAGGGGUCCUGGGUUCUGUGGAGGGGUCCUGGGUUCUGUAGAUGGGUUCUGGGUUCUGUAGAAGGGUCCUGGGUUCUGUAGAGGGGUCCUGGGUUCUGUAGAUGGGUUCUGGGUUCUGUAGAGGGGUCCUGAGUUCUGUAGAGGGGUCCUGAGUUCUGUAGAGGGGUCCUGGGUUCUGUAGAGGGGUCCUGAGUUCUGUAGAGGGGCCCUGGGUUCUGUAGAGGGGUCCUGGGUUCUGUAGAGGGGUCCUGGGUUCUGUAGAGGGGUCCUGGGUUCUAUGGAGGGGUCCUGCGUUCUGUAGAGGGGUCCUGGGUUCUGUAGAGGGGUCCUGAGUUCUGUAGAUGGGUUCUGGGUUCUGUAGAGGGGUCCUGAGUUCUGUAGAGGGGUCCUGGGUUCUAUGGAGGGGUCCUGCAUUCUGUAGAGGGGUCCUGGGUUCUGUAGAGGGGUCCUGAGUUCUGUAGAGGGGCCCUGGGUUCUGUAGAGGGGCCCUGGGUUCUAUGGAGGGGUCCCUGGGUUCUGUGGAGGGGCCCUGGGUUCUGUGGAAGGGUCCUGGGUUCUAUGGAGGGGUCCUGGGUUCUGUGGAAGGGUCCUGGGUUCUGUGGAGGGGUCCUGGGUUCUGUGGAGGGGCCCUGGGUUCUGUGGAGGGGUCCUGGGUUCUGUGGAGGGGCCCUGGGUUCUGUGGAGGGGUCCCUGGGUUCUGUGGAGGGGUCCCGGGUUCUGUGGAGGGGCCCUGACUCAGGGCUUGCCCAGGGGCAUGGGCUUUUCUGGCCGAUACUGCGAGGCCUGGGGCUGACAGCAGAAGAGCACGACCAUGGAGGGAGGAGGCCGGGGCUGUGAGGACCCAGGAGGGCGAGGAGCUAGGCAGGCCAUGCUGGAAGGCCUGUGUGCACCAGGGUCUUCCCGGCAGGGCUGGAGAAGACCCUCCUGGAAGGAACAGGAGGCGAGUGCAGCACCAGGUGCAAUGACCCGUCUUAUCCAUCACUACCUGGCCUGCAGGCCUGGGCUGGGAGGAGGGAGAGCAGGCAGGCCUGGGCUGGGAGGAGGGAGAGCACACAGGCCUGGGCUGGGAGGAGGGAGAGGGGUGUGCAGCUUUGCCUGCUGGCUUCCAUGUCUGCAGUGAGCCCAAGGGCCAGGAUGGUGUGGGGGAGACGCCCCCUCCAGCCAGUACCCCUGGGGCCCUGGCCCCUACUGGCUUGUCUAGUGGGAAAGGACCUUCCCAUGCACCCUGACUGGGCUUGUCAGUCCCCCUUUGUGCCUCCUGCAGAUGGAGAUGAGGGUGCAGUCGAAGCGCCCGGUGCCUGUGAGUGAGGACCCUCCCGAGCCCCUCGCUCUCCUCCGGGGACACAGGGCACCUCUGACUGCAGGCGCAGGGAGGAAGGUUGCUGUGGUCCUGGCGGCCCCUGCCGGUUUCCCAGCCUUGCUCUUUCCGCGGUUGCUUGUGGAUUGGAGUCAACCUGGGCGCCCACCUACUGGAGUCCACUGGGGUGGGCGUGGGUGGAGGGGGCCUUCUGCAGAGCUAGUGGGGUGUUGUGGGGGCCGGUGUGCGGGUGCUCGGUGCAGGCCACCAUGUGACAGGCGUGUCCGGCUCAUGCAGGUGGGACUGGGGGAGUCAUGGUUGUGAGGUAGCGAUCGCCUCAAAGGCCUGACUUUCUGGGAAUGGUAUUUUUUUGUCAGAUGUGAGCCUCUUACUAACAGCACAUGCCUCCUUCCCCCUCCCCCACAGCCCCCAUUGCCACAAACGAGGUGAUAGAGGGCAGUCUUCAGCUUGGGGUUCACUGGGAGGCUCCCCCUCUGCGUGGAGAUGGCUCGCUCUGGAAGUUCUGCAGGAGUGGGCUGGCCGCCAAACUCUCAGCACCUGCCGGCAGGGCUGCUGACUCAUGCUGUAAUGGGGACAUUGAUGUGUGAGGAAUUUAUGCAGCCGGGCGGCAGCCCUUCACUUUUCUAACAGUGAAGCACUUCACAGAGAAAACACAACGGGAUCAAAUCACAAUUAGAGUCAGUCCCAGCUCCUGCAGGGCAGCCGCAGCCUGGCGGGCGGGCGAGCACAGGGCCUCCAGCCAGCCGGUGGGGGGGAGGUUGGGAGGGCAGGGCCAGAGCUCACCCCAUAACCUGGCUUACUGGGGUGCAGGGAACAGCACGGGCAGCCUUGGGCCGAACAACCACCCCACGUUUGAUCUGGCAGAGGAACGUCCCUCUUGGUACGGCUCGUCCUGAGCACCUGCGACUGGUUGCACGGUGUUGCUUCAGCUCAGGGCGCCCUGGAAUCAGCUGCACCGUGUCCACCUCACAGCAGUCCCCAGCUCCAGAUCCUCCAGGCAGGGACCUGGGACGGUGUGGGGCGGGGCUGAGGCUCUCUGGCAGUCUGAGGCGCUGGCCGGGGCCUCACCCGAUGGCCCUCCCGCUCCAGCCUCCAGAUGCCUGCCUGGCCUUAGAGAACAAAGGUAAUUUGUAAAGAGAUCAAUAGGAAAUGCUGAUCAGACAGUCACAAUGCGCCUUUGCCUGAGGACUUGAAUUCCCGCUUCAAGAAUCUGUGGCUUCCGCUGCUCAAUGCUGGGGACAGACGUCAGGGGACUGUGGACGUCAUCGGCCGAGUGACUAUUUCCUUAUGACCAGCCUCUCUCCGAGCUGAUUUUCCUGUUCUGUGCUCUCUCAGCCAAGCUGUUUGAGGUUUGGCUCAGGAAACUAGGCCAACAAUGGAAUUCAAAGACAAUCCCACCAAAGAGAAAACCAGCAGGGUGGGCGACGCCUGGGCUCCAAGAACCGGUGGGGAGCUCCAUUUCCCUCAGAUGGAGCGUUUCCUAACCCCGGGGCAACUUUCCCGAAACAUGGCAGGCUUGCCUGACCCAAAUAGCCCCUCAUUCUUGGCUGCACUUGUGACCACCGGGCCGAGCUCCUCGGAGGCGUGGACAAAGGAGGCCUUGGCGAGAACAGGGUUCGGUGGCCAGUGGGUGGAGAAGUCGGUGCUGGCUGCGCCGUGGAGCCCGUGGAUCAACAUUUGCUGAGGACCUCAGUGCGGAAAGUCGUGGUCGCACUUCCUUCCGGGUCUGCUGAGCUGCCACUCACGGCGGGAGAGUUGGGACGUCCUGGAAUUCUGGAAAGCCUCCUGCUCUGAAGGAGUUCAAGGUUUUCCUGUCCGGUCUGACAUCCCCAGACGUUUGCCCUGCUAGGGCUGGAGAAAGGUGUCCAGGCAUUGAAGGAACAAUUUGAGGGACAAUCUGGCUUUUUUUUUUUUAACAGUUCUUUUCUAAACACCUCAGAAUGAAUGAAACAAAGUCCUAUUUAUCACUAGAGAUGAAGACACAUCCCUGAUUUACGUUGCCACGUGGGGAGAAGUGCUUUGUUUCUACUCAGCAGAAGGAGACAGGGGCAGGCGGGAGGAGCUGUCUCAGGAACACCAGCCUGGGUUUCCCACCCUCCCUGCUGUGGCUCUCAGCUGAUCCGAGGCUGGCCCAGGAGAGGAGGGAAGCAUGCCUGAGACUGCUCUGUCUUUCUGCUCCAGCAACAGAGAGCCAAAGAAAAGACACGAGGCCCAAAGUAUCACCUUCUAAAUCACCUCCCUCAGCUACUCCCCCAGGAUUUCCAAAUACCCAGGUUCCCCUCGGGAGCUGCCUGGAGCUGCCUCUGCCGCCCGCUCCUCUAGGCGUCCAUGAUGAGCCCAGGGCUUCCCCCUCAGGAACCAAACCGAACUGACUGUCUUGGUUUUCUCCUUGUUCUCCACGAAUCCUCUGCACAUUUUAACCUUCCAGGCAGCAGCUAUGAAUCCGUUCCCAGAGCCAGGCUAGACAAUACAACACCCAUUUCCCAGCUGCUUGCAGCUCUUGCAUUAGCUGGGAAGCAGAUUUACCUUAAGGGAAUUUACCACCCUUAGAAUUUUUUUUUUUUAGAAAAAUAUACAUUUUUUCUUUCCUUUUAAAAAAGCCUUCAGGCUCUUGCUAACUUCACAACUGGAGCCCUAUCAGAAAAAGGCAAGUUGUCAAAUGGCAAAUAUGAAGUCCAUGUUGUUGAAUUGUGAGCGCCGGGGGAGAAUAGAGGGGGCUGUGGAGCUGUCUCGGGGUCAGAGCCCUGCGGAGACGCCAGGGCUGGGCGGGCCUGAGACCUCCGCCUGCAGUCAGCAAGGCCCCCUUGGCUGAUGGACCUGAGAAUUUCUGUGUUACUUCUUUUUAUUUCUGCAUGCUUCACGUCACACAAUUUUCGAAAAGUGGCAAUAGAACCAAAUGAUAAAAGCAAUUCUAGGAUAGAGCGUCUUGCUUUCAUAUGAACAGCAUUCCAUCUAAGACGGUUCAACACUUCCUAAUUCCUGUCCACCAUCUUCAGGGUUCCUUGGAGUGGUGGCCCCCUGGUGACCAGCUGGCACAGUGAUUUGAUCAUGUCCUCACAGCUCCUGUGUUGGAAAUUUAAUCCCCAAAGCAACGGUGUUGGGAGGUGGAACCUUGAGUAGGUUCUGAGGCAGCAGUGCCCAGCAGUGCCCGCCCCAGGUGCCCCGUCAUGAUCCCUGGGUCCCCAGCCCCACCUGCCCAUCUCUCUCCAGCUCCGGCUUCACUGUGUACUGGGGAUUAUGGAGAUGAUGUCACGGAACUUUCUGGGAUUCUCCCGUGAAUUGCCAGAGGCAGCACCUGGAUCACUGUGUACACUGAUGGCAGAGUUUGCAGCUCCUCCAGCAGCUGCUGCCCAGGCCGCCCUCCACCCACACUCACCCACAUGAGGGGCCUGAGGACUCAGGGAGGGAUUCCUCCUCCCCAGAAGCCACUGGGAAGUGAGUGAGGCUCUGUCUGCAUUGCAGGUAGUGGAGGGGCGGCUGGCAGCAGGCUUGCUGGGGAGGGUGAAGCUCUGUCUACACUGUAGGCAGUGGAGGGGCAGCAGGCAGCAGGCUGGUGGGGUAGGUAAGUCCCUGUCUACCUGCAGGCAGUGGAGGGGCAGCAGGCAGCAGGCUGGUGGGGUAGGUAAGUCCCUGUCUACACUGCAGGCAGUGGAGGGGUGGCAGGCAGCAGGCUUGUUGGCGAGGGUGAAGCUCUGUCUACACUGCAGGCAGUGGAGGGGCAGCAGGUAGCAGGCUUGGCAGUGAAUGAGCCUCUGUCUACACUGCAGGCAGUGGAGGGACAGCAGGCAGCAGACUUUUUGGGAGAGGUGAAGCUCUAUCUACACAGCAAUCACUGGAGGGGUGGUGGGCAGCUGGCUUGUCAGGUAGGUGAGGCUCUGUCUACACAGAAGGCUUGUGGUGGGGGGCGAGGCUCUGUCUACACUGCAGGCAGUGGAGGGGUGGCAGGUGGCAGGCUUGUGGUCGGGGGUGAGGCUCUGUGUACACUGCAGGCAGUGAAGGGGCAGCAGGCUUGUGGGGUGGGUGUUGUCCCACGCCCUGCCCUUACCCUCUGAGGCCUUUUUCUUGCGUGAAGCAUGAAGGGCGACUUUGCGGCUGGAGCCUGGUCCCGCUUCUUCCCAUGAGUGUUUUGUUUUCCCUCCUGCGUGGUUUUUAAAUGAAAGAUGAGUAGACAUGUGCAGGCAGCAGCUUCCUGAGCUCAGUCUGCAUUCCUGUUGGUCUUGGUGGGGACAGUGGCUCUUCACCCCUCCCCCACCUAAUGCUCACCUGGUGUGUCCACUGCCUCAAGACCACGUGGGGGACUGCAGGUGACAGAACGGCCCCCUCGCUCUUUCUCGCAAAUGCAUAGGGACUGUGCACAGGUGCUCUCUGCCUGGAAAGAAGUGGCCGUUGGGCAGCUCAGGAGAGACUCGCACCACGGCGGGGUGGCCUCCUACCUCAACGCACCUGGGGAAGAUGUCCCUCUGUUUGUGUAGACAAACACACUCCUCCUACAUCUCAGCUGCUUAAAAAAAUACUUAGGUAGUUCUACUUCUGACUUAUUAUAUGUAGAUACUUGGGAAAUUAAAAAAAAUCUGAGCCUCAAAUUGGUUAGGAAUUUACAGGAGAGAUUUCAGGCAGGUGUGCUAUGGUUGUCUGUGUGAAGUAUAACCAAGCCUGGCAUUGCCUGUGAGAUCCAUCGGUGGAGGCAGAUGGGCACCGCGGCGUCAGGAAAGGGAAUCCUGGCUGGGUUGCAGCACGGGCUCCAGCUGGCUGGGCCUGGGGUACGUGUUGGUAGAAGGCAGAAGGAGUUGGUGGGAGCCACAAAAUGGUAAAAAAUAAACAGGAGAAGCUGUCUCAGUGGGGAAGGAGGUCGAAGUGUGGGCCAGUGGGCUGGCACAGAAGAGAGUGUCACGGGGCGCCCACAUCCUGUGCUGGCCCAGACAGGCAGCUAAAGAGGGGUCUGCGGAGGAGAGGAGAACCCGCCCACACCUCAAAGCGGCCACCAGGGCUGACGGCUCAGGGACAGGAUGGGGAGGAGGAGGGAUGGGGCUUCCGGCAGAGCUGUCCUGCUGGCUGGAGAGACGCCGGCAGAGCCAGCAAGCGCCAGCCAAACACUGAAGGGUGGAUUUAGGGCCCAACCAGCGGAGAGCAGCAGUCUCUGGGCACCAUCGGGGCGAGACCUGGGACCUGGAGGGGUGUAAAAACUAGAGGCGUGUCCAGGGCCGAGCUCGGGGGGUAAAUGGAAGCGAAAGCUUGGUUCUCUGAAUGAGAACUUCGGAAAUUUCACACCUGGUCACAACUGAGGCUUGAAUCGGCUCAGGAGGAAGCGUCCGCUCCCCACACACAGCAGCAGCCCCACACGAGCUGUGGGAGAGGCACGCAGAGACCUGUGCCCUGCCCUUCAUUUCAUACUUAACUGGAAACACAAUACUGAUCGGAACCUUCAGUUUUAGUCAAAGCUGGAGCGAUGAUACGUUGCUGCCAACACUAGAAACGGAGCUCCUGUGGGCUGUCAGCUGAAUCAGAGUCCAGCGUUGGCUUAGCCCAGCACAGGAAUGGCCUUGCCAGGGGCUCCCUGUGCUGGGAUCGGCAGUGACCUUGGGUGUGACCUCCUGGUGUGUUUUUCUCUAUUUGCAGCCAUGCGCACGCUGGCUGGGAGACCACGGCGCUGACCUGAUGGCUGGGUCUUUCCUGCUGCCUGAGCUGCUGUGGAGAACAUUUCUCAACAGCGUCCCCACUCCUGCCUGGCCAUCGAGACACUGCCCUUGUUGGGACCAAGGUCUCCCUAUGUCCGUCCUGGCUGCACCUGCGGGGCCCCUGGCUCCACCUGGUCCUGGCUGUUGCCUUGCUCACCCUCUGACGCUCACAUGUCCAUGCUGGCUGGUGGCUUCUUGAUGCUGCAAGCUUAGUGAACACACAGGAAUCCUGCUCCUAGGGCCAGCACACCCUCCGUGGCUCCUUCCUUGGCCUCACUGUAAAGCAAGCUGGCAGCAGAGUCAGGGCUCUGGGACGUCUGAGAAAUCUUGGGCACCAAGCGGCCCCCCGGCCUCCCCUUCUCUCCUGUUUCCUCCUCUCUCAGGCUAUGCUUGGCAUUUGGGAACCACGUGGCACCGUUGGCUCCUCCCUCCUGCUGCGGUCAUGCCAGGAUGCUGCUGCCUGGCCCUCAUCUGUCCGGAUCGGUGCCGCCUCCUUUUCUUCCCCGGGAGAGAAACUGGAGUCCCAGUUCUGAGGCCUUGCUCCGAGCUCGGUACCCUCCUGUGCCGACACCUGCCCCUGUUGUCCUGUUGGGACCUUAACAUUCUGCAGCCAACCUUUGGACUAAGUGUGUGCAGAGUCUCCAUGCCGCGUCUUGCCCCCGAAGACUGGCCCUGCCUCCGCAGGCCUGGCUGCCGUCUGGGUUGGUGUCCAGGGAGUGGGUGUCGAGCUCUCCCUCAGCUGCCACAGCCCAGACCUUCCUGACAUUGCUGCUUGGAGCAGAGGCCUGGGCGCGACCCCUCUGUCUUGGCAGAGGGGGUGACUCUCACUUCGUGUUUGUCAGGGAAGAGGUGAAGUGUUGAGAAUCUGGUCCUUGGAGUGGGCACAUCUUUGGGGAGCAGCAGGGCCUGCUUCAGAGUUUGUUUCCUAAAUAAAACAAUGGCUCUCCAGUGACUUCUCCUGUGCCCUCGAUUGUUUUUGAGGCUGUUGCACUUUUAAAGAGCAGUGUGUCCACACCACCGUUCCUGUGGGCCCACUGUGGGGACAGCUGCUGAACCUUCCAGGACACACCUACAUACCUCAUCCCACCUACACCUCUCACCCUCCUACACACCUCACCCUCCUACACACCUCACCCUCCUACACACCUCACCCUCCUACACACCUCACCCUCCUACACACCUCACCCUCCUACACACCAAACCCUCCUACACACCUCACCCUCCUACACACCUCACCCUCCUACACACCUCACCCACCUACACACCUCACCCUCCUACACACCUCACCCUCCUACACACCUCACCCUCCUACACACCUCACCCUCCUACACACCAAACCCUCCUACACACCUCACCCUCCUACACACCUCACCCUCCUACACACCUCACCCUCCUACACACCUCACCCUCCUACACACCUCACCCUCCUACACACCUCACCCUCCUACACACCUCACCCUCCUACACACCUCACCCUCCUACACACCUCACCCUCCUACACACCUCACCCUCCUACACACCUCACCCUCCUACACACCUCACCCUCCUACACACCUCACCCUCCUACACACCUCACCCUCCGCAGUGUGCUUAUCACCACUGCACCCACGCUUGUGGCUGCAAGGAAGUCCCUGGCUGAUGUGAGUCCUCCUCCCACACACUGGGGCCCAUGGCUUUGGUGUCUAGAAAAGAAUGACAAUAAGGUCAGUACAGGGCAGGCUGGUCAGACCACCUU
RNAcentral lists this long non-coding RNA (9980 nucleotides) under Homo sapiens (human). RNAcentral describes it as "non-protein coding lnc-DLL1-3:2". Lineage: Eukaryota; Metazoa; Chordata; Mammalia; Primates; Hominidae. The record is from RNAcentral.